This 253-nucleotide ribosomal RNA is filed under the name uncultured bacterium. Its description in RNAcentral is "partial 16S ribosomal RNA". It matches the Rfam family "Bacterial small subunit ribosomal RNA", at positions 524 to 776 of the family's 1533-position model. The record is from RNAcentral.
CACGUAGGGCGCAAGCGUUGUCCGGAAUUAUUGGGCGUAAAGAGCUCGUAGGCGGUCUGUUGCGUCCGCUGUGAAAACUCGGGGCUUAACCCCGAGCCUGCAGUGGAUACGGGCAGACUAGAGGUAGGUAGGGGAGAAUGGAAUUCCCGGUGUAGAGGUGAAAUGCGCAGAUAUCGGGAGGAACACCGGUGGCGAAGGCGGUUCUCUGGGCCUUACCUGACGCUGAGGAGCGAAAGCGUGGGGAGCGAACAGG